RNAcentral lists this ribosomal RNA (939 nucleotides) under Curvularia pallescens. RNAcentral's name for it is "partial large subunit ribosomal RNA". It matches the Rfam family "Eukaryotic large subunit ribosomal RNA", at positions 1 to 952 of the family's 3401-position model. The record is from RNAcentral. Lineage: Eukaryota; Fungi; Ascomycota; Dothideomycetes; Pleosporales; Pleosporaceae.
CAUUCGGGUGCUCCGUUUCUUACUUCGCUCGUGGAAGAAAAUAGCAUAUCAAUAAGCGGAGGAAAAGAAACCAACAGGGAUUGCCCUAGUAACGGCGAGUGAAGCGGCAACAGCUCAAAUUUGAAAUCUGGCUCUUUCAGAGUCCGAGUUGUAAUUUGCAGAGGGCGCUUUGGCUUUGGCAGCGGUCCAAGUUCCUUGGAACAGGACGUCACAGAGGGUGAGAAUCCCGUACGUGGUCGCUAGCUAUUGCCGUGUAAAGCCCCUUCGACGAGUCGAGUUGUUUGGGAAUGCAGCUCUAAAUGGGAGGUAAAUUUCUUCUAAAGCUAAAUAUUGGCCAGAGACCGAUAGCGCACAAGUAGAGUGAUCGAAAGAUGAAAAGCACUUUGGAAAGAGAGUCAAACAGCACGUGAAAUUGUUGAAAGGGAAGCGCUUGCAGCCAGACUUGCUUGCAGUUGCUCAUCCGGGCUUUUGCCCGGUGCACUCUUCUGUAGGCAGGCCAGCAUCAGUUUGGGCGGUGGGAUAAAGGUCUCUGACACGUUCCUCCUUUCGGGGAGGCCAUAUAGGGGAGGCGACAUACCACCAGCCUGGACUGAGGUCCGCGCAUCUGCUAGGAUGCUGGCGUAAUGGCUGUAAGCGGCCCGUCUUGAAACACGGACCAAGGAGUCUAACAUCUAUGCGAGUGUUUGGGUGUCAAGCCCGAGCGCGUAAUGAAAGUGAACGGAGGUGGGAACCCGCAAGGGCGCACCAUCGACCGAUCCUGAAGUUUACGGAAGGAUUUGAGUAAGAGCAUGGCUGUUGGGACCCGAAAGAUGGUGAACUAUGCUUGAAUAGGGUGAAGCCAGAGGAAACUCUGGUGGAGGCUCGCAGCGGUUCUGACGUGCAAAUCGAUCGUCAAAUUUGGGCAUAGGGGCGAAAGACUAAUCGAACCUCCUUGCCCCC